Molecule: ribosomal RNA, 500 nt
Filed under: uncultured bacterium
Lineage: Bacteria
Description: partial 16S ribosomal RNA
Rfam family: Bacterial small subunit ribosomal RNA
Source: RNAcentral
AUUGAACGCUGGCGGCAGGCCUAACACAUGCAAGUCGAGCGGAUGACGGGAGCUUGCUCCUUGAUUCAGCGGCGGACGGGUGAGUAAUGCCUAGGAAUCUGCCUGGUAGUGGGGGACAACGUUUCGAAAGGAACGCUAAUACCGCAUACGUCCUACGGGAGAAAGCAGGGGACCUUCGGGCCUUGCGCUAUCAGAUGAGCCUAGGUCGGAUUAGCUAGUUGGUGAGGUAAUGGCUCACCAAGGCGACGAUCCGUAACUGGUCUGAGAGGACGAUCAGUCACACUGGAACUGAGACACGGUCCAGACUCCUACGGGAGGCAGCAGUGGGGAAUAUUGGACAAUGGGCGAAAGCCUGAUCCAGCCAUGCCGCGUGUGUGAAGAAGGUCUUCGGAUUGUAAAGCACUUUAAGUUUGGAGGAAGGGCAGUAAGCUAAUACCUUGCUGUUUUGACGUUACCGACAGAAUAAGCACCGGCUAACUCUGUGCCAGCAGCCGCAGUAA